This 215-nucleotide long non-coding RNA is filed under the name Elaeis guineensis (African oil palm). RNAcentral describes it as "long non-coding RNA (EGUI_LNC017518)". The record is from RNAcentral. Lineage: Eukaryota; Viridiplantae; Streptophyta; Magnoliopsida; Arecales; Arecaceae.
CCCAUCGACGUCUUGAGCGGCUGAGAGCCUUGAUCCAAGACCAAGUGCAGUUCGCAAUCCGUAGAAAUCGCUUCAAUCGAAAGUCGCACAAUCGUCAAUAAAGACAUUGCUCAACGACUCCUUAAAGGUUUGAGGAUGGAAGAAGAUUGAUCACCGGACUGGAGACGAGAUAUAAAAGCAGAAGAGGUCAAGUGGAAGGUAGCCAACUGCAAGAC